This 1009-nucleotide ribosomal RNA is filed under the name Megascolecidae sp. YN201745-01. Its description in RNAcentral is "partial small subunit ribosomal RNA". The record is from RNAcentral. Lineage: Eukaryota; Metazoa; Annelida; Clitellata; Crassiclitellata; Megascolecidae.
GGCUCUACCUUCUUUAGAUAUCAGCUUGUGUACUGCCGUUGAAAGCACACCUCUAAAAGAAUAAGUGUGCUACUAUGAUAUAGCUCAAACACAUCAGGUCAAAGUGCAGCCAAUAAGAAGGUGAUGAUGGGUUACAACCUAUAAAAGGGUGGACUAAAAGUUAAAAACUUUACAAAAAUGGACUUGACCGUAAUUUAUAAAUACCUUAAUAAAUGAUUUAAUAUCUAAGACAUGUACACAUCGCCCGUCACUCUACCCUAAAGGGUAGAUAAGUCGUAACAAAGUAGGUGUAAUGGAAAUUGCACCUGUCGAAGUAUAGCAUAUAAAAUGCUUUUUACUUACACUAAAAAUAAAGCUUAGGCUUACUUCGCUAAUUAAAAUAAUCUUUUAAAUAAAUACAAAUAAAAACACAUAAACUAAUAAAUAUAAAAGUACAGUAAUGGAAUAAAUAAUUUAAUAAAGUAGGGGUAUUAUCCCGUACCUUGUGCAUCAUGGUUUUACAAGAAAAAUUUUAACAAGAUUAAUCCCGAACUCUUAAACGAGAUGACAAAAUACUGUUAAGAACCCAUCAGUAAAUGUGGCAAAAGUUUUGAAAGAUUUAUUGUCAGAGGCUACAUACCACCCGCGCAAGAGCAUAGCUGGUUCUCAACAAACAUUAUACAUUAAAACAUGUGAUAUAUUCACAGUGCAAGACCAUGGGGGACAAGCCCCAUAAACAAAGCAAUAAAAAUCCAAACACACUAAACACAAAGGCCUAAAACCAGCCAAAAACGUACUUUACCGCUACAUAAAAUGACAAAAUAAAUAAUAAAAAAUGCAAAAAGUAAUUGAGAUAAAUAUAAAACAAUAAAAUAUUAUAUUUUAUGUAAAAAUAAGUAUUAAUAAUACUAAAAUAUAAACAAAUAAAGAACAUAAUAACAUAUAAACAAAUACCAGUAAAGGAACUAGGCAAAUAAAUAUUUCGACUGUUUAACAAAAACAUUGCCUUAUGUAUAAAAUAUAAGGUAGU